Molecule: non-coding RNA, 45 nt
Organism: Schistosoma margrebowiei
Lineage: Eukaryota; Metazoa; Platyhelminthes; Trematoda; Strigeidida; Schistosomatidae
Source: Rfam
ACCCAUCUGACGAGUUCCAAAUAGUACGAAACACGUAUCCUGGAU